GCUUAGAAGCAGCCAUCAUUUAAAGAAAGCGUAAUAGCUCACUGGUCGAGUCGGCCUGCGCGGAAGAUGUAACGGGGCUAAACCAUGCACCGAAGCUGCGGCAGCGACACUAUGUGUUGUUGGGUAGGGGAGCGUUCUGUAAGCCUGUGAAGGUGUACUGUGAGGUAUGCUGGAGGUAUCAGAAGUGCGAAUGCUGACAUAAGUAACGAUAAAGCGGGUGAAAAGCCCGCUCGCCGGAAGACCAAGGGUUCCUGUCCAACGUUAAUCGGGGCAGGGUGAGUCGACCCCUAAGGCGAGGCCGAAAGGCGUAGUCGAUGGGAAACAGGUUAAUAUUCCUGUACUUGGUGUUACUGCGAAGGGGGGACGGAGAAGGCUAUGUUGGCCGGGCGACGGUUGUCCCGGUUUAAGCGUGUAGGCUGGUUUUCCAGGCAAAUCCGGAAAAUCAAGGCUGAGGCGUGAUGACGAGGCACUACGGUGCUGAAGCGACAAAUGCCCUGCUUCCAGGAAAAGCCUCUAAGCAUCAGGUAACAUCAAAUCGUACCCCAAACCGACACAGGUGGUCAGGUAGAGAAUACCAAGGCGCUUGAGAGAACUCGGGUGAAGGAACUAGGCAAAAUGGUGCCGUAACUUCGGGAGAAGGCACGCUGAUAUGUAGGUGAAGCGACUUGCUCGUGGAGCUGAAAUCAGUCGAAGAUACCAGCUGGCUGCAACUGUUUAUUAAAAACACAGCACUGUGCAAACACGAAAGUGGACGUAUACGGUGUGACGCCUGCCCGGUGCCGGAAGGUUAAUUGAUGGGGUUAGCGGUAACGCGAAGCUCUUGAUCGAAGCCCCGGUAAACGGCGGCCGUAACUAUAACGGUCCUAAGGUAGCGAAAUUCCUUGUCGGGUAAGUUCCGACCUGCACGAAUGGCGUAAUGAUGGCCAGGCUGUCUCCACCCGAGACUCAGUGAAAUUGAACUCGCUGUGAAGAUGCAGUGUACCCGCGGCAAGACGGAAAGACCCCGUGAACCUUUACUAUAGCUUGACACUGAACAUUGAGCCUUGAUGUGUAGGAUAGGUGGGAGGCUUUGAAGUGUGGACGCCAGUCUGCAUGGAGCCGACCUUGAAAUACCACCCUUUAAUGUUUGAUGUUCUAACGUGGGCCCCUUACCGGGGUUGCGGACAGUGUCUGGUGGGUAGUUUGACUGGGGCGGUCUCCUCCUAAAGAGUAACGGAGGAGCACGAAGGUUGGCUAAUCCUGGUCGGACAUCAGGAGGUUAGUGCAAUGGCAUAAGCCAGCUUGACUGCGAGCGUGACGGCGCGAGCAGGUGCGAAAGCAGGUCAUAGUGAUCCGGUGGUUCUGAAUGGAAGGGCCAUCGCU
RNAcentral lists this ribosomal RNA (1362 nucleotides) under human gut metagenome. RNAcentral describes it as "bacterial LSU rRNA". It matches the Rfam family "Bacterial large subunit ribosomal RNA", at positions 1104 to 2449 of the family's 2925-position model. The record is from RNAcentral.